This 190-nucleotide ribosomal RNA is filed under the name uncultured rumen bacterium. RNAcentral describes it as "partial 16S ribosomal RNA". It matches the Rfam family "Bacterial small subunit ribosomal RNA", at positions 338 to 525 of the family's 1533-position model. The record is from RNAcentral.
CCUACGGGAGGCAGCAGUGAGGAAUAUUGGUCAAUGGGCGAGAGCCUGAACCAGCCAAGUAGCGUGCAGGACGACGGCCCUAUGGGUUGUAAACUGCUUUUGUAUGGGAAUAAAGUGCUCCACGUGUGGAGUUUUGUAGGUACCAUACGAAUAAGGACCGGCUAAUUCCGUGCCAGCAGCCGCGGUAAUA